This 459-nucleotide ribosomal RNA is filed under the name Triticum aestivum (bread wheat). RNAcentral's name for it is "partial small subunit ribosomal RNA". Lineage: Eukaryota; Viridiplantae; Streptophyta; Magnoliopsida; Poales; Poaceae. The record is from RNAcentral.
AUGAAUCUUAUAAAUGGUUUGCCUAAACUUAAGAGAGAAAAAGAUAUUGUAUGCUCUCCUUGUAGACAUGGUAAGAUGGUUGCAGGUUCACAUGCACGCAUUACCAGUGUCAUGACUAACGCUCCAGGACAGCUUCUACAUCUUGAUACGGUUGGUCCACCAAGGGUACAAUCUUUUGGGGGUAAGUGGUAUGUUUUGGUGAUUGUUGAUGAUUAUUCAAGAUAUUCUUGGGUUUAUUUUAUGGCAUCUAAGGAUGAGGCUUUUAGUCACUUUAAGAGUCUUGUGCAUAGACUAAGUGUUGAGCACCCAGGAUCUUUGAAAACAAUAAGAAGUGAUAAUGGAACUGAAUUUAAGAAUUCAUAUUUUAAUCACUUUUGUGAUGAAUUUUUCAUUGAGCAUCAAUUUUCUUCACCUUAUGUACCACAACAAAAUGGUGUAGUGGAGCGUAUAGAACUCUAG